CAGCCGCCGCGGGAAUACGAAGGGUGCAAGCGUUACUCGGAAUUACUGGGCGUAAAGCGUGCGUAGGUGGUGGUUUAAGUCCGUUGUGAAAGCCCUGGGCUCAACCUGGGAAUUGCAGUGGAUACUGGAUCACUAGAGUGUGGUAGAGGAUAGUGGAAUCUCCGGUGUAGCAGUGAAAUGCGUAGAGAUCGGAAGGAACAUCUGUGGCGAAGGCGACUAUCUGGGCCAACACUGACACUGAGGCACGAAAGCGUGGGGAGCAAACAGGAUUAGAGACCCCCGUAGUCCCUGUCUCUUAUAC
This 301-nucleotide ribosomal RNA is filed under the name uncultured bacterium. Its description in RNAcentral is "partial 16S ribosomal RNA". It matches the Rfam family "Bacterial small subunit ribosomal RNA", at positions 509 to 807 of the family's 1533-position model. The record is from RNAcentral.